UGCAAGUCGAACGGCAGCACGGAGCUUGCUCUGGUGGCGAGUGGCGAACGGGUGAGUAAUAUAUCGGAACGUACCCUAGAGUGGGGGAUAACGUAGCGAAAGUUACGCUAAUACCGCAUACGAUCUAAGGAUGAAAGUGGGGGAUCGCAAGACCUCAUGCUCGUGGAGCGGCCGAUAUCUGAUUAGCUAGUUGGUAGGGUAAAAGCCUACCAAGGCAUCGAUCAGUAGCUGGUCUGAGAGGACGACCAGCCACACUGGAACUGAGACACGGUCCAGACUCCUACGGGAGGCAGCAGUGGGGAAUUUUGGACAAUGGGCGAAAGCCUGAUCCAGCAAUGCCGCGUGAGUGAAGAAGGCCUUCGGGUUGUAAAGCUCUUUUGUCAGGGAAGAAACGGUGAGAGCUAAUAUCUCUUGCUAAUGACGGUACCUGAAGAAUAAGCACCGGCUAACUACGUGCCAGCAGCCGCGGUAAUACGUAGGGUGCAAGCGUUAAUCGGAAUUACUGGGCGUAAAGCGUGCGCAGGCGGUUUUGUAAGUCUGAUGUGAAAUCCCCGGGCUCAACCUGGGAAUUGCAUUGGAGACUGCAAGGCUAGAAUCUGGCAGAGGGGGGUAGAAUUCCACGUGUAGCAGUGAAAUGCGUAGAUAUGUGGAGGAACACCGAUGGCGAAGGCAGCCCCCUGGGUCAAGAUUGACGCUCAUGCACGAAAGCGUGGGGA
RNAcentral lists this ribosomal RNA (716 nucleotides) under Janthinobacterium sp. Its description in RNAcentral is "bacterial SSU rRNA". It matches the Rfam family "Bacterial small subunit ribosomal RNA", at positions 56 to 767 of the family's 1533-position model. The record is from RNAcentral. Lineage: Bacteria; Pseudomonadati; Pseudomonadota; Betaproteobacteria; Burkholderiales; Oxalobacteraceae.